UUUAUUUUUUUUUUCUCAGAAGAAAUCUUUAUUCCUUUCCGUAGUUACCUAAAUCAACUCCUCGAUAUGAUGUCCUUACCCUUACAUUACAAGCGAAGUACAGAACGUAACAGUUAUCACCCUCAUAUAAAUAAUAUUUUCCAACUACUGACUAUUUGACUCCCGGUACACAUUCACAUUAAAAGAUCUAAAAAUUCAAUUAUUUAUUAACCUUUAUUAUUUUUCAAUUCUCUAUUACAAUAAUAAACAAUAAUAAAUUUCGAUAUUCAAAUUUGCAUCACGAACAAUGGUGUUAAAUUUAUAUUUUUUUUUUCUCUAAAUAACGUGUACGUAAAAUUUUGGUGAACAUGCAUUUUGUCUAGUAAAUUUUUUAUUAAAAAUUUUCCUAAAUACUCUGUGAUACAAUAUUCGCGCCAAAUUUGAAAAAAAGGACAUCGAAAUAUACAAAGGGCGGGACGUAGUCGGAAAAUAGAAAAAGUUUAUAAAAUAUUUAGUUAUGAGAUAAAUACGUUAAAAAUUCGUUGUUUAUAGAUGAGAAGAAUAGCAUACAAGAUCUUAGGAGUAAGAAAAACCAUUUUAAAUAAAUACUUAAACGUAAUAUCAGUUCUUUUUUGAUGACCGAAUAAAAUCGAUACGAAUUAUAAGCGCUAUUUUCUUUUGUCAAAAAA
This 668-nucleotide unclassified non-coding RNA is filed under the name Melitaea cinxia (Glanville fritillary). Its description in RNAcentral is "misc RNA ENSMCXG00005012869.1". The record is from RNAcentral. Lineage: Eukaryota; Metazoa; Arthropoda; Insecta; Lepidoptera; Nymphalidae.